ACGGAAGGCAGCAGUGGGGAAUAUUGGACAAUGGGGGAAACCCUGAUCCAGCGACGCCGCGUGAGUGAAGAAGUAUUUCGGUAUGUAAAGCUCUAUCAGCAAGGAAGAAAAUGACGGUACUUGACUAAGAAGCCCCGGCUAACUACGUGCCAGCAGCCGCGGUAAUACGUAGGGGGCAAGCGUUAUCCGGAUUUACUGGGUGUAAAGGGAGCGUAGACGGUAUGGCAAGUCUGAAGUGAAAUGCAUGGGCUCAACCCAUGAACUGCUUUGGAAACUGUCAAACUAGGGUGCAGGAGAGGUAAGUGGAAUUCCUAGUGUAGCGGUGAAAUGCGUAGAUAUUAGGAAGAACACCAGUGGCGAAGGCGGUUAGCUGGACAAUAACUGACGCUGAGGCGCGAAAGCGUGGGUAGCAAACAGGAUUAGAUACCCUGGUA
This 434-nucleotide ribosomal RNA is filed under the name uncultured Lachnospiraceae bacterium. RNAcentral describes it as "bacterial SSU rRNA". It matches the Rfam family "Bacterial small subunit ribosomal RNA", at positions 341 to 792 of the family's 1533-position model. The record is from RNAcentral. Lineage: Bacteria; Bacillati; Bacillota; Clostridia; Lachnospirales; Lachnospiraceae.